Molecule: long non-coding RNA, 1301 nt
Organism: Saccostrea cuccullata (small rock oyster)
Lineage: Eukaryota; Metazoa; Mollusca; Bivalvia; Ostreida; Ostreidae
Exons: 3
Source: RefSeq, a predicted model, not a curated record
UAAUAUCAAUUCUCUGUAAUUAUCAAAAUUGGUUGGCCACGCAUAGAAAAACAUUUUGAUUUUUUUUAUAAUAAUUUUAAACAGCUAUGUCAUUAAUUGUAAAAUCUAAAGUGGGUUUAUGAAAUAGACCCUUGGUUGCCAUAGAAACGGGGUGCAAAAUUCUCAAUUUCGUUAAUUUUGAAAAACGUGUACUUAUCAAGAAAAACUGUGUCCAGAAAUGAAAAGGGAUAACUUAAUAUGUUUUCAUUAUUUAAAUUUAAUACUACAGAUUAAAGUAAUUAUAUCUGUAGUUUUAAUUUAAUCUCUCAAUAGUAAAUGGCCAUUUUACAUAUUAUAACAUAUCAGAUAUGUGAUUGGUUUAGUGGAGUUUUUGGAGGGUUAAAACAAAAAAGGCACACUGAUUACAAAUUUAGUAAUAAUUAAUUAUGAAAGGCUGAUAUUUGAUUAUAUCAAAAUAUGUAAAAUAUUGGUGGGAGACUCAAAGAUGUAAAAGGAAUUCAAAGGUAAAGAUUACUUUUUUCUACAUUUUGAAGCAUUUUUUGCUUCCUAAUUACUUCCCUUGAACUACUCUCUAACGUUUGGAGGUACAAUGUGUAUUUAGUAAACAGCAGUGUACAUUUUCUGGCGAAAGAUCUCAUCAAAGUUUUACAGUCUGGAAGAAGAAAAGAAGGCUAGACAUCCUAAACAAUGAAGACAGAAGGAUUUACCAUAUAAGAUGAAUAAAGAAAAAGUAAGACCAGUAAACCAAAACAGGACCAAAUAGGCCGUGACUGAAGUUCAAGUGCAUUCUGCAAGAAAGUGGACAACCUAGAUUUUGUUCUUUUCAAGGUUGAGAAGGGAUGCCAUAUUUUAGGUUUGAAACCAGGCAAGUGAAAGCUGAAUUCCAACCUACUUCAACAUACUUGUACCCACUGUCUUCAAGAUAUCAGUGUUUGAGAUGUCAAAGUUUCAAAUAUAACAGGAACAUGUUUAUCAUAUUAUGUGAUGGCAUCCUCAAAUCUUAUGCUGUAUAACAAUAUGUUUUAGAACUUAUCAAGCUUUAUCCUGUACCUUGCCAAAAAAACUCAACUCAGCAUAAUUCUCAUUAACUAAUUAUCAAUGUUACUUGCGUAUGUCAAUGUAGGUCAUUACUGGUACAUGCCUGACCAACAAAAACUCUAAAAUUGAAAAAUCAGAGACAAGAUUUUCAGAGCAGCAGAAACAGUAGAAUUUGUCACGUAAAUCUAAUGAUAUGUACCGUAGUUGAGAAUACAUGUACUCUAAAUGUUGCAUAUAUAAAAAAUAAAAAAAGCGAAAAGUUC